UUGUGUGUCUGCAUACUUGAUUGCCU
RNAcentral lists this non-coding RNA (26 nucleotides) under Homo sapiens (human). The record is from RNAcentral. Lineage: Eukaryota; Metazoa; Chordata; Mammalia; Primates; Hominidae.